ACCAAAAUCAAUCUUUGGAUGUGCCUCUCCUUGAACACGUUAAAGUUUAUAAGUUUGUUUUAUUUUAGGGUUUUGUUGGCUGAAACCUUCUAUUAGAUUUUUAUUUGAUUAAUGGUCGUGCUUCUGUGUGUGUUUUCUUUUCUUUUUUUGUACAUGAUCGACGCUUUUUUUCUCCUUUGACAACACGGGUAACAUCUAUACUAUCAAAACCAAGAUUUUUUCUUGAUAUUUCUUCGUUCUGUAUGCAGGUUAUUUUGCAAGAUGUUGUUGUAUAUUUUUUUACCAUGCCAGAUCCCCAAAAUCACGCAAAUAGGAGGAAAGCAGUGUAUACUACGACAUGAUCGUGGUUAAAAUAUUAAAUCAUUCGCAAUGCCGGGAUUUCUCAAAAAGAAAAAAAAAAAAAAUUAAUGGCAAGUUGUGGUUUACAAGAUCUUUUUGAUUUUGUUGUGUGAUCUGUGUCCAUUAUUUGUUGUAAUCGAUUGGCAAUUGUGUGAUCUCUGGCUGUUGGUUGUUUCACAGAUAUUCAUAGAAAGUAUGAUGCUUGAUGUAUUUUUUUGGAGCAAAAAUAUCGUAAGAGAAAAUCAUGGAGAUAUCCAUAAAUAUGAUGGCUAUCCAAAAUUUUAUAAAUUGGAUGAAUUCUAAGAUAUUGCCUUAUUAUUUCAAAGUUGCAUGAAUUUUAAGAUAUUGCUUGAUAGUAUUUCCAAAAUAUUUGUGACUCUUUAUUUAAAGCUCUCGAGCGGAGUCCAGAUUUGCUUGUUUGUCAGGUUUUUUUCUUCUGUUUUCUGCUCUUUGGGGUUUUUUCAUCUGGUAUUUUCUCCUUUUAUUGUUGUUUGCCUUGCAUGUUUGUCGGAAGUAUAGUAGUUGGUGCUGAUGACUGACGCAAUGGGACGGCAAUGAGAGGUACUUCUUUUGGAGCUUUAUGGCGAUGAAAAAGACUAUUUCAAGAUGUUUGGAUACUUUUUAGCGGCUUUUCAGGGUAGUCGAUGCAAUUUCUAAGUAUUUUUAUUUUUUUGUUUGAUUUUAAUCAUCUUGCUUCACUUUUGUUAUUUUAAUUGUUUAUAGCAAAAUAACUUGGUUUCUCUCUACCAAAACCAAAACCCCAUUGUUUCCACGCCCCAUCUGUUUUCUUAGGUAGCUUUGAAUCUUUUUUUCUUUUUUCCAUAUAAUUUUGUUGUCUGAUGAGUCCGUUGUUUGUUUCUUUUGUAUAUCAGAAGUGUAAUUAUGCGUUACAGAUGUUAUUUCAAUGUGAAUAAUAAUAAAUUGUCUUAUGGAAAAUGAAGUCGAAGACAUGAAAAAAUGGUAAAUCCCUUUUUCUCUGUCAACUUUACAAUGUUUCUUCAAUAUUAAAAAUAGAUUCUUGCAUGGAAAGAAGUGUGAUGGCUCUCUUUCAAAUCUUUCAUAUAUAUAUACACACAUGGUUAUUGAUCUAAAUGUUUUAUGGAUCCUAUUCUAUGGGAUUAUACACAAGAUACUCUACAAGUGCCAACGUGGAAGAGAAUGAUUUUUUUGAAGGCAGCGAAUAAAGUUUCAAGUGUUGAUAUUUCUCCUUCUAGACGAAUAUUAAUGUAAGCAUACCAAACCAACUUUCUAAUGAUUAUUUGAAUUAUUUGAUUUUCUGACCAUGAAAAAAAAAUGGUAUUGAUCAUUACUGUAUUUAGUGAUGGUUAUAUCGUUGCAAUUCUUUAUUAAUUUAGAUUUUUACAAUGUUUUCUUCUGAUGCUUCCUACCGUUAAUUUCUUCAAUAUUGUUUAUCUCAAACACACUAGAACCGUUACUGGCGGAAUUUUUAUCGUCAUAAUUAAUAUUCUUAGUUGUACUACUUUUACAACCUCAUGUAUGUAAUCAAAUACUUACCGGGAGAACGGCAGAUGGAUACUAUCCAAAUUUUUUUAGCUCCAAGAAGAAUGGUCUCAUACUCUCUCUCAACUUAACUUUUCCAUUAUUGGGUUUCGUUUGGGAAAAGUUAGAACGGGAAUCAGCUAGCUUCAUCAUUGUACCUUCAUCGAGUAAUGCUUCAUAAAAAUGAAACUAUUUUACGAUCAUGAACGUUCUCACUCACAUUCUUAUUGGAAAGAUGUUGUUAUCAUCACGGUUCGGUCGGAUCAUUUUAUGAAACCGAAUAAUACUUAUUUAUUAGGGCUAUUUUGCAUUUCCUUCCCUCCCAAGAUCGUUAAUUAGCGUUUCCUCCCUAAAAAAAUUAAAAUUAGUGUUUCCUCCCAUCGUUAAGUAUUCCGUCCAAACCUUGGUUAGCUGACUCAGCACCAGUGCACACAUGGCAUAAACAAAUUUUUUUUAUUAGUAAACUACCCAAAAUAACCUCAUACCAAGAUUAAGAAGGUUGCUUCCUCAACCAACAGCACCAGUUCUUCAUAAUUGAAAUUCUACCAUUAAUCACCGUUUCCUUCAUCAAAUUUACGAAAACUAGGUCAUCUUCUUGUGUCUUGAAUCUUGAUUUCAAAUAAACCCAUAGCAAAUACAACUACCAGAUCCAUUCCCACUAAUCAAAACUUAUUCUUAAUCUCACAUCCAUCUAUCACCACAGACUCCUCCAUUACAGAAACAACAACCACUUCAGUAGCAUAAGCAAAUUUAAGUCUCUUUCUUUGUUCUUUUGUUUCUUUAUUUCAGAUGAAAUGGAAUGAACAAGAGAAAUAUAUGUUGGAUAUGGAUUUGGCAGUAUAGUGGAUGAGAUUUAGGGUUUGAGCAGAAUUUGGGGAUUAUUGUUAGAAAAUUCAAUUGGGUUCGAUUGAGAAGGUUCAUGAAGCUGUGAUGAUAUGGAUACAUGGGUUAUGUUUGAUUUAGGAGACACAGAAGGUGUAGUCGUGAACAAGGAAGAGAAAUGGGUUGUUAAUGGUGGCUGCCAACUGAUUUUGGAACGGAAUUUGGGGGUUUUCGAUAUGAAUCGAUCUUGAGUUUACCACAUAAGUAUGGCUUGAUUGAUUGAGUUGUUAGCUUGGAUGUCUAGUUUAUGGAUGAAUAUUCAAUGAAGUAAAGUGAACAGCUGUGAAGAAAAAUGGUGUUGGUCGUGGUUGUAUGUGGAUCUGCAUAUAUGAAUGGAAGAUGGGUAAACUAAUGGGAGGCAGUGGUGGUCGUUAUAAAGCUUCCUCUACAACAACAGAUGAUGUUUGAUUGGUGCUAAUUCUGUGUAAUUGGGUUUGGUGAUGAUUGAAGGGGCCUGUGUGUUCUUUCCGAGCAGAAGAGAGAUGAUGAAUGAUUUUACAAGUUUUUGAAGAUUAGCAGCGAUGGGAAGAAUAGGAGAUGGUGUUGUGGAUGUUAAAUCACCACCAUUCAUUAUUUCACUUUAUCUACAACCGUUAGAUUAAAUUAGUAUGUGAGGGUAAUUUAGGUACUUCUGGUUACACGUGUAUAAUUUAUGCCACGCAUGCACAGAUGCUGACUCAGCUAACUGAGCAAUGGAUGGAAUACCUAACGAGAGGAGGAAACACUAAUUUUAAUCUUUUUGGGGAGAAAACGCUAAUUAGUGAUCUUGGGAGGGGAGGAAACUCAAAAUAACUCUAUUUAUUAACUUUCAGCCGGAGAGGUCUUUAUCCAUUUUGAUGACAUCAACUGUGUCAUCAUCUAGGUAGUACAUUUUUUUGUUGGGUAAUUAUUUAACUUCUUCUUCUAUUAUUUGUUUGAACUGAGGCCUUAACACUCUGCAAAAAAGAUAGCGACAUUCUCUCAUGUCUGUACGACAGGCCUUCCAUCAAGAUUGCUAGAAGAAAUUAAGAUUUUCUUCCUUAUCAUGCCAACCUACGUCAAGUGCUUUUUUUAUUUUGUAAGAUGACUUUUCUUUCCAUUCGGUGCAAAUUUUGAAUGAAUCAUGAGAGUUUUUGUCUAUAAUUUUGUAUUGUUGGGGAGCCGUUAAGGGUUGGUUUUGAUAGGAUUGUAUAUAAAGUAGUCUAUAAAGUGUAUAACUAUUUUGCUUGGAUUUUGCUGUUUAAUUUUUUCUUACUUCUAAGUCCAUAAGGUUUUGAGACUUCUGCAAGUAUAGGGAAGUAUAGAAAGUUCAGUGUAGGGCAUAAAUCUUUAUACUUGAUGGAGUGGUGAUUGUUUGGAAAAAUUAGUUGUGGAUUUGUGAAGUCUUGCUUAAAUUUGUUAGCAUAACUUGGUCGGCAUUUAUGCACCACAAGUAUAUACAAAUUAUUU
Molecule: long non-coding RNA, 4149 nt
Organism: Papaver somniferum (opium poppy)
Lineage: Eukaryota; Viridiplantae; Streptophyta; Magnoliopsida; Ranunculales; Papaveraceae
Exons: 3
Source: RefSeq, a predicted model, not a curated record